Molecule: non-coding RNA, 951 nt
Filed under: Bramus lutescens (Transcaucasian mole vole)
Lineage: Eukaryota; Metazoa; Chordata; Mammalia; Rodentia; Cricetidae
Description: 12S ribosomal RNA
Rfam family: Bacterial small subunit ribosomal RNA
Source: RNAcentral
AAAGGUUUGGUCCUAGCCUUAUAGUUGAUUGGAGGCAGGAUUACACAUGCAAAUCUCCAUGAGCCAGUGUCAAAGCCUGCAGAGUUCAUGUUAACUCUAAGGGGAACGGCAUCAAGUACAUACCAUAGCUAAAGACGCCUUGCCCAGCCACGCCCCCACGGGACCGCAGCAGUGACAAAUAUUUAGCAAUGAACGAAAGUUUGACUAAGUCAUGCCUCUCUAAGGGUUGGUCAAUAUCGUGCCAGCCACCGCGGUUAAACGAUUGACCCAAGUUAACUAUUUCCCGGCGUAAAACGUGUUACUAGAUAUGCAAUAAAAUAGAAUUAAAGUCCAUCCAAUAUGUGAAAGUUAAUUGAUGGUCUCUAAAAUCAAUGACGAAAGUAAUUCUAGCGCACAUGAUACACGAUAGCUGAGACACAAACUGGGAUUAGAUACCCCACUAUGCUCAGCCCUAAACUUUAGUAUUUCCCAACGAAAAUACUUGCCUGAGAACUACUGGCAAUCGCUUAAAACUCAAAGGACUUGGCGGUACUUUAAACCUGCCUAGAGGAGCCUGUUCUGUAACCGAUGAACCCCGCUAUACCUCACCACCCCUUGCUAAUUCAGCCUGUAUACCGCCAUCUUCAGCUUACCCUUGAGGGAAUAAAAGUCGGCGCAAUCAUUCCACAUAAAAACGUUAGGUCGAGGUGCAGCCAAUGGAGUGGGUGUAAUGGGCUACAUUUUCUUACUAAGAACAUUACGAGACCCUUCAUGAAAAGGAAGGGCAAAGGAGGAUUUAGUAGUAAACUAAGAAUAGAGCGCUUAGUUGAAUACAGCUAUGAAGUAUGCACACACCGCCCGUCGCCCUCCUCAAUCUAAAUAGAAGAUACCUAUACAUAAUUACAUCUAGCUUUUACUAGAGGAGGUAAGUCGUAACAAGGUAAGCAUACUGGAAAGUGUGCUUGGACUACA